AGCAUUGUUCUUUGGCAGCCUAUGGAUGCCUAGAAUGUGGACUUUGCUAUCUUCAAAAAAGUGAGCUUGGUCUUUCAAAAAUACAGAUGGACUGUUGAAUCUCGUGCUGAUGGGUUUGUUUUCCUGUGUUGUCCCUUGCAUUUGUGAAGUGGUUGUUUUGUUUCUCCAAUGAACAGCAGUAAGCAGACAGCUAACAAUGAUUAGCAGUCUGAAAUGAAUCAAGAUUUGGGAACCUAAGCCAUGCUUAGGAUGGAACAGAACAUCAAGACAGAAGAUUGGACCAUGGAACAAAUCGGAGAUCACGAGCAAAGAAAAAUCAAGGACUGGAACAUACCAGAGGAGGAGUUGCAGUGACUUCCCUGAAAGAUACAUGUACAGAAAGACUUUAAAAUACUUAGUGGU
Non-coding RNA from Thamnophis sirtalis, 402 nucleotides. The record is from RefSeq and is a predicted model, not a curated record. NCBI's taxonomy places the organism in Eukaryota, Metazoa, Chordata, Lepidosauria, Squamata, Natricidae.